Molecule: ribosomal RNA, 1549 nt
Filed under: Paraclostridium bifermentans ATCC 638 = DSM 14991
Lineage: Bacteria; Bacillati; Bacillota; Clostridia; Peptostreptococcales; Peptostreptococcaceae
Source: RNAcentral
UAUUAUAGCAAAGAGGAUACACCUGUUCCCAUUCCGAACACAGAAGUUAAGCUCUUUAGCGCCGAUGGUACUUGGUGGGAAGCUGCCUGGGAGAGUAGGACGUAGCCGCGUAGUCUUUUUUUAUUUUUUGGAAAUUAAAUUUUAGGUAUAAGUAUAGUUUUUUUAGAAUAUAUAAUUUAAAAAAUAAAAUUAAAUAUAUUGAUUAAAAACUUUUUAUUCGACGAUAAUAUUAAUAAAUAAAUGUAUUUAAAACUAAAUUUUAUUUGCAAUUUUAAUAUAUAAAAAAACCUUAAGAAGUAUAUUUAGAGUAGUAAAAAAUAUGGAAUUUUGUAAAAUUUAGUUUUUAUAGGAGGAAAAUUUAUCCUCUUGUAGAAUUAAAUAUAUAAAUAAUUAAUAAUCUUAUAGGAAGUGGUUUGAAUGAGUAAAUCUGUUACUAAGGUAGUUAAUUUAUAUGAAUAUAAGUCAGCGAAAAAAGAAAAGGAAAUAGAUAGAGAACAAUUAUUAAAAUUAAUAAAAAAAAUUAUGAUAACUAAAUAAAGGAGCUAUGCUCCUUUAUUUUUAUUGCAUUCUAAGUGUACUUAUAUAAUCUUGAAAUUGAUUAAAAUCAUCAUCAUUUGUUAACUCUAUCACUUCAGAUUUUUCACUAUCAAAAUUUUUUAAAUAAAUGGUAUGUGUACUACUUUCAGAAUUGCAAUAUAUACAUCUAAAUCCAUCCUCAUAAAGACCUUUUAUAUGGUUGAAAUCUGGCAUAACUAACAACUCCUUGUAAAAGUAUUUUUAUAUAGUUUUCCAAUAAAAAUGUAUUAUAUUCAGUCUAUAUAACUUAUUUAUAAUGGAAUCGUAUUGUUGAAAUUAUAUAAAAAACAAAAAAAUAAAAUUAAAUUUUAAAAAAGUGUUGACGAUGUUAAAUUAAGAUGGUAUAGUAUUACUUGUCCUUAAGAAAAGGGCAAAACAAAAAUGAACUUUGAAAAUUAAACAGUAGGUUAAUUAUAAAAAUUCUUUUUUAAAGAAUUAAACACAAACAACCAAGCCAGAUAUUCAGAUAAUGAUUAGCUGAGCGAUGGACAACUUUUUAAAUUAUAUUUGAGAGUUUGAUCCUGGCUCAGGAUGAACGCUGGCGGCGUGCCUAACACAUGCAAGUCGAGCGAUCUCUUCGGAGAGAGCGGCGGACGGGUGAGUAACGCGUGGGUAACCUGCCCUGUACACACGGAUAACAUACCGAAAGGUAUACUAAUACGGGAUAACAUAUGAAAGUCGCAUGGCUUUUGUAUCAAAGCUCCGGCGGUACAGGAUGGACCCGCGUCUGAUUAGCUAGUUGGUAAGGUAAUGGCUUACCAAGGCAACGAUCAGUAGCCGACCUGAGAGGGUGAUCGGCCACACUGGAACUGAGACACGGUCCAGACUCCUACGGGAGGCAGCAGUGGGAAUAUUGCACAAUGGGCGAAAGCCUGAUGCAGCAACGCCGCGUGAGCGAUGAAGGCCUUCGGGUCGUAAAGCUCUGUCCUCAAGGAAGAUAAUGACGGUACUUGAGGAGGAAGCCCCGGCUAAC